This 477-nucleotide ribosomal RNA is filed under the name uncultured bacterium. RNAcentral's name for it is "partial 16S ribosomal RNA". It matches the Rfam family "Bacterial small subunit ribosomal RNA", at positions 30 to 507 of the family's 1533-position model. The record is from RNAcentral.
AUUGAACGCUGGCGGCAUGCCUUACACAUGCAAGUCGAACGGUAACAGGUUAAGCUGACGAGUGGCGAACGGGUGAGUAAUGUAUCGGAACGUGCCCAGUCGUGGGGGAUAACUGCUCGAAAGAGCAGCUAAUACCGCAUACGACCUGAGGGUGAAAGCGGGGGAUCGCAAGACCUCGCGCGAUUGGAGCGGCCGCUAUCAGAUUAGGUAGUUGGUGAGGUAAAGGCUCACCAAGCCGACGAUCUGUAGCUGGUCUGAGAGGACGACCAGCCACACUGGGACUGAGACACGGCCCAGACUCCUACGGGCGGCAGCAGUGGGGAAUUUUGGACAAUGGGCGCAAGCCUGAUCCAGCCAUGCCGCGUGCGGGAAGAAGGCCUUCGGGUUGUAAACCGCUUUUGUCAGGGAAGAAAAGGUUCUGGCUAAUACCUGGGACUCAUGACGGUACCUGAAGAAUAAGCACCGGCUAACUACGUG